RNAcentral lists this ribosomal RNA (139 nucleotides) under uncultured eukaryote. RNAcentral describes it as "partial 18S ribosomal RNA". It matches the Rfam family "Eukaryotic small subunit ribosomal RNA", at positions 214 to 352 of the family's 1831-position model. The record is from RNAcentral.
AUACAAAACCAAUGCCCUUCGGGGCUCUCUUGGUGAUUCAUGAUAACUUCUCGAAUCGCACGGCCCCGCGCCGGCGAUGGUUCAUUCAAAUUUCUUCCCUAUCAACUUUCGAUGCUACGGUAUUGUCCUAGCAUGGUUA